AAGUGGAUGAUCCUAUGCUGUCGAGAAAAGCCUCUAGCGAGUUUCAUGGCGGCCGUACCCUAAACCGACUCAGGUGGUCAGGUAGAGAAUACUGAGGCGUUCGGGUGAACUAUGGUUAAGGAACUCGGCAAAAUGCCCCCGUAACUUCGGGAGAAGGGGGGCCACAUCUGGUGAUGAGCUUUGCGCUCUGAGCUGGGGUGGCCGCAGAGACCAGCGAGAAGCGACUGUUUACUAAAACACAGGUCCGUGCGAAGCCGUAAGGCGAUGUAUACGGACUGACGCCUGCCCGGUGCUGGAACGUUAAGGGGACCGGUUAGCUCCAUUUCGGUGGGGCGAAGCUGAGAACUUAAGCGCCAUUAAACGGCGGUGGUAACUAUAACCAUCCUAAGGUAG
This 393-nucleotide non-coding RNA is filed under the name Streptomyces afghaniensis 772. Its description in RNAcentral is "Bacterial large subunit ribosomal RNA". It matches the Rfam family "Bacterial large subunit ribosomal RNA", at positions 1588 to 1959 of the family's 2925-position model. The record is from Rfam by way of RNAcentral. Lineage: Bacteria; Bacillati; Actinomycetota; Actinomycetes; Kitasatosporales; Streptomycetaceae.